GGUCAAGUUAUUAAGGGUGCAGGGCGGAUGCCUUGGCACUAGGAGCCGAUGAAGGACGUGAUAAGCUGCGAUAAGCUUCGGGGAGUUGCACGUAAACUUUGAUCCGAAGAUUUCCGAAUGAGGAAACUCACUUAGAGUAAUGUCUAAGUAUCAUUAAGUGAAUACAUAGCUUAAUGAGGGGAACUCAGGGAACUGAAACAUCUAAGUACCUGAAGGAAGAGAAAGAAAUUCGAUUCCGUAAGUAGCGGCGAGCGAACGCGGAUUAGCCCAAACCAAUAAAGUUUUCUUUAUUGGGGUUGCGGACAUAUCAUAACGAAGAGGUAUCGUAAU
This 330-nucleotide ribosomal RNA is filed under the name Clostridioides difficile. Its description in RNAcentral is "partial 23S ribosomal RNA". It matches the Rfam family "Bacterial large subunit ribosomal RNA", at positions 1 to 333 of the family's 2925-position model. Lineage: Bacteria; Bacillati; Bacillota; Clostridia; Peptostreptococcales; Peptostreptococcaceae. The record is from RNAcentral.